CAGGAUCGUGGUUCAUGGGGAUAAGAUGAUGAAAUCUAUAGUCCCUGACUCAGCCAGUGUGUUUGAUUUCAUAAAAGAAUUUGGACUGACGGAAACUCAGGUACCAUGAUUUGAUGAUGGGUUGCAAUGUGGGAGCAGAUAAUUGAACCAAGUAGUGUCUAAUGGCAAUUUCAAUGCUGUUCAAUAGAUUUGCAAUGGAGGUCCAGCAUUUUACUUGUGUCGGUUUCCUUCUACAUCCUAUUGAGUAAAAAUAUAUUUCUACCUAGUCACCAUGCCUCGUGGUACUGAAAUUAGGAACACUAAAAUCUGUGACUCUGGUUGCACUCUAUGAACCGUGGCUCCACAAUUAUAAUCCAGUGACUCCAGCAACUAGUAUUGUGGAAUAGAACAGGGUUUCCCAAGUACCCCCUACCAGUCCAGGAUUUAGGGAUUACCCUGUUGUGUCUAACAUGGUUUUUUUUUUCUUAAACAUCUUAGAAACAUAACUGAGUAAUCCCUAAAUCCUGGACUGUAAUGAGGUACUUAAGGACUGGGUAGGGGACAACUGGAAAAAAGAUUGUUAAAUUAGUAUUUUCUACGAAUACACUUUGCUAUAUGCCUUAUGAUUGUUCUAGAGACUCCUAUCUUAACUUUUUGCUGGAUCACUUUCAAAAAUGGUGCAAUCUCACUGGUGCAAUGGUGCAGAAGAUCAGUGUUGCAUCUUGUAAAUCAGUGACCAAUUUGAAUUGUACUAUUGUACAUACUUUGAAAGACCCAUUGGAACCAUUAUUUCCAAACUAGCCACUGUGUUCGGGUUCUUUUUAUUGUUUGGUGUAUGUCUACCCUAAGCUUUGUGUAUACCAUCGUGUCCCUAGGAAUCACAUUAAUGUGCGUCUGUUUGUUUGUUGUUAUUUUCAGGCUCUGGAAGUCAGCGAUCACUUCCCAGUGCAGGUGCAAAUCAAAAAAGCCAAAAAUUUUGUGGAUAAAACCAAAUCUUUCUUCAAAAAGAUAAAAGACAAAAUUUCAGGAAAGUGAUCAUUUCAACAAUAGUUACCUGUUUGGCACUAUAUCCUGUACUAUGUAGUUAUCCUGUAAUAAUAAUCAUGAUAUAUAAUGCACAUGACCCAAAAAAUUGUGACAAAGGCACAUUAUUAUUAUUUUUUUUAAAUAGUAAAAGAGAAACGUUUUGACGCAAUGGAAAGACAUAAAAUAACGUAAAGCUAGUAAAUAUUACAUAUAAAAAUAAAUUAAUGUGGCCAAGGGAAAAACUUAAAGGGACAGUAUAGUCACUAAAAUAACUUUAGCAGUUUUGGUGUAUAGAAUUUGCCCCUGCAGUCUCACUGCUAAAUUCUCUGCCAUUUAAGAGUUAAAUAACCUUGUUUAUACAGCUCUAGUUACAGCUCCCUGCCUGACUUACACAGCCUUCCUAAACAUUUUCUUUAAAGUGAGCUCUAAUGUUUAAACUUCCUUUAUAGCACAGUGUGUUUAAUCUAGAAUGUUGUAUCUGUUAACAGCCUUCUAGAUCCUGCAGGAGCCCUGUGUUAAUUAAAGUUUAAUUUACAGAACAGGAUUGUGAUUGAAAAUGAAACCAUUUUAAUAAAACCUUCAUGCAGACUGUGUCAGUCACAGCCAGGGGAGGUGUAGAUAAAGCUGCAUGGACAGAAGCAAUGUAGGUGUGAUUGUGUAAGACACUGACCCACAGGAAAAUGGAGCUCUUGAUAGGUACAAUUCUGCACCAAAUACUCACAUGCACCAAAUACUCACAUGAGUUCAUUAUAGAUGUUAUAUUUGUUUUUCUGUGGCUGUCAGAUAAUCCUAUAGAUAAAGCUCUCGUCAGAGCUUAAAGGACCACUAUAUGCACCCAGACCACUUCAGCUUAAUGAAGUGGUCUGGGUGCCUGGUCCAUCUAGGAUUAACCCUUUCUUCUAUAAACAUAGCAGUUUCAGAGAAACUGCUAUGUUUACAAAUGGGUUAAUCCAGCCUCUAGUGGCUGUCUCAUUGACAGCCGCUAGAGGCCCUUCCGUGCUUCUCACUGUGAUUUUCACAGUGAGAAGACGCCAGCGUCCAUAGGAAAGCAUUAAAAAUGCUUUCCUAUGGACUGGCUGAAUGCGCACACCGCUCCUGCUGCGCAUGCAGCCAAUGACGGCGAAGAGGAGGAGGAGAGUUCCCUGCCCGACGCUGGAGAAAGAGGUAAAUUUAACCCCUUCCACCCCCUAGAGCCCAGCGGGAGGGGGGCCCUGAGGGUGGGGAGGACCUAGAGACCCUAUAGUUCCAGGAAAACGAGUAUGUUUUCCUGGCACUAUAGUGGUCCUUUAAAUGCAUUUCAGUGUACCACCACUUGCUUACAUUAGCCUAAUUUGUUUUGUCAUAUUACAUGAAUGUUCUGCUUGCGCGUUGUGCAGCUCUGUGAUAUAUUAACUGAUUCCUUUAUAAAUAAAAUGAUACUUGCAGGCAAACAGAUGGAAGAUGGGUCUCUGGCUGUCUUAAUUAUUAUGGACUGCAGAGUCGACAGCUGGGUAACGGAACAUCCUUUCAGGAGAAUGGUGCAAUAACUCAGGAGUGAAAUAGUUACUGCUUAAAUAAAGCUGUAAACUGAGGGAUCUGGAGAAAUACUAGAGGCUCAGCAUAAAUGGUGACAGCAGAAUCAAUUAGGAAAAUCUAAAACUGCAAUAACUAUUAUAGGAUCACUAUAGUUUUAGGAAUACAUACUUGUAUCCCUAACCCUAUAGUGCCCCAGUCCUUAGUUCUAUAUAGGUCAGUGCCGUUGUUUCCCAUAAAAAUUUGUAAAAUCAAAGUUUUAUUCAUCUCUCUAUCUCCCAUGGUGCCAUUGAGGAGGCAUGGCCUCCUCCCUGAUAAUCCAAUCCAAUGCUCAAAGAAAAGCAUUGUGGUCCAGAUGCCAUGAGUGGCGAGCUCAGUGCACACAUACAAGCUUCCCCUUGGGAAAGCAUUGUAUUCAGUGCUUUCUGGUGAGCUUCCGUGUCACAUGAGUUAUAGACACAAUGAGGUCACUGAUAUUAUUGGAGCACUGUCAGGACUCGGAUCAGGGAGGACCAUCCAGACUUAGGUUGCUAAAUGCCCUGAUGAACCAGCAUUCAAUCCUGCCUUAUAUUUACUACCUGACUAGGUUUAACAUACCUGAAAAACACCUAUUUCAUCAGCGAUACUCUUUCGACUUACUCUUUCCAGUUUAAGGUCAAAAGAAUGAAAUAAGUAUUCAUAAUCAUGCCCAUAAUCAUAAUAAAUUGUAUUAUUACUUUAUCAUUAAAUUUGUUUAUGAACUUUUCCUACGUUUCCUUUAUUAUCGUCAUUCAGCAAUCAGAAAACUGGUGCAAGGAUCAAAUUGUUGUAGGAGACAUUUCCCAACACAUC
Molecule: long non-coding RNA, 3348 nt
Filed under: Pelobates cultripes (western spadefoot toad)
Lineage: Eukaryota; Metazoa; Chordata; Amphibia; Anura; Pelobatidae
Source: RNAcentral